AUACGUAGGGGGCGAGCGUUGUCCGGAAUGCUUGGGCGUAAAGGGCGCGUAGGCGGCCCGGUAAGUCUGGAGUGAAAGUCCUGUUUUUAAGAUGGGACUUGCUUUGGAUACUGUCGGGCGUGCGUGCAGGAGAGGUAAGUGGAAUUCCCAGUGUAGCGGUGAAAUGCGUAGAGAUUGGGAGGAACACCAGUGGCGAAGGCGACUUACUGGACUGUAACUGACGCUGAGGCGCGAAAGUGUGGGGAGCAAACAGGAUUAGAUACCCUGGUAGUCCACACUGUAAACGAUGAAUGCUAGGUGUAGGGGGUAUCGACCCCUUCUGUGCCGCAGUCAACACAAUAAGCAUUCCGCCUGGGGAGUACGGCCGCAAGGUUGAAACUCAAAUGAAUUGGCGGGG
RNAcentral lists this ribosomal RNA (397 nucleotides) under uncultured bacterium. RNAcentral describes it as "partial 16S ribosomal RNA". It matches the Rfam family "Bacterial small subunit ribosomal RNA", at positions 523 to 918 of the family's 1533-position model. The record is from RNAcentral.